GUCCAGCAACGAGCGCAACCCCUGUGAACUGUUGCCAGCGCGUAAAGGCGGGGACUCUGUUCAGACUGCCCAGAUCAACUGGGAGGAAGGUGGGGACGACGUCAGGUCAGUAUGGCCCUUACGCCUAGGGCUGCACACGUACUACAAUGCCCAGCACAAUGAGAACCGAGACCGCAAGGUGGAGGAAAUCUGCAAAACUGGGCCCAGUUCGGAUUGGAGGCUGCAACUCGCCUCCAUGAAGUCGGAAUCGCUAGUAAUGCCGUAUCAGCUACGACGGCGUGAAUACGUUCCCGGGUCUUGUACACACCGCCCGUCACAUCAUGGAAGCCGGUCGCACCCGAAGUAUAUGCGCUAACUUUAUUGAAGCAGUAUCCUAAGGUGAGGCUGGUAACUGGGAUGAAGUCGUAACAAGGUAGCCGUAGGGGAACCUGCGGCUGGAUCACCUCCUUU
RNAcentral lists this ribosomal RNA (450 nucleotides) under bacterium. RNAcentral describes it as "bacterial SSU rRNA". It matches the Rfam family "Bacterial small subunit ribosomal RNA", at positions 1084 to 1533 of the family's 1533-position model. The record is from RNAcentral.